ACUGUGAAGUGUACAUAGUUGUUCCAACAUUGGUUGUUCCAACAUUGGAACUUGUGAGUAGCGUAUUGUUUAUAAUCGCCAAAACAUACACAUCGAAGCAGUAA
The submitters of this non-coding RNA (104 nucleotides) gave its source as unclassified sequences. The record is from Rfam.